This 497-nucleotide ribosomal RNA is filed under the name uncultured bacterium. Its description in RNAcentral is "partial 16S ribosomal RNA". It matches the Rfam family "Bacterial small subunit ribosomal RNA", at positions 28 to 507 of the family's 1533-position model. The record is from RNAcentral.
GAUGAACGCUGGCGGCGUGCCUAAUACAUGCAAGUCGAGCGAACAGACGAGGAGCUUGCUCCUCUGACGUUAGCGGCGGACGGGUGAGUAACACGUGGAUAACCUACCUAUAAGACUGGGAUAACUUCGGGAAACCGGAGCUAAUACCGGAUAAUAUAUUGAACCGCAUGGUUCAAUAGUGAAAGACGGUUUUGCUGUCACUUAUAGCUGGAUCCGCGCCGCAUUAGCUAGUUGGUAAGGUAACGGCUUACCAAGGCAACGAUGCGUAGCCGACCUGAGAGGGGGAUCGGCCACACUGGAACGGAGACACGGUCCAGACUCCUACGGGAGGCAGCAGUAGGGAAUCUUCCGCAAUGGGCGAAAGCUUGACGGAGCAACGCCGCGUGAGUGAUGAAGGUCUUCGGAUCGUAAAACUCUGUUAUUAGGGAAGAACAAAUGUGUAAGUAACUAUGCACGUCUUGACGGUACCUAAUCAGAAAGCCACGGCUAACUACGUG